UCUUGGUUCCAUUAGAGGAAGUA
This 23-nucleotide ribosomal RNA is filed under the name uncultured fungus. RNAcentral's name for it is "partial 18S ribosomal RNA". The record is from RNAcentral. Lineage: Eukaryota; Fungi.